Molecule: small RNA, 555 nt
Filed under: Pan troglodytes (chimpanzee)
Lineage: Eukaryota; Metazoa; Chordata; Mammalia; Primates; Hominidae
Description: retained intron
Source: RNAcentral
CUGUAGUAUUUCAAGGAAAUGAUGACAGUAAGUUGUGAUUGCUAAUUAUUUGAACAUCAUCUGUCUUUUAAAAAAUUUAAGGUUCUUAAAGAUGUGGGAUUGAAAAAAGAAGAUAUUGCAAUGUGGGAAGUAAAUGAAGCCUUUAGUCUGGUUGUACUAGCAAACAUUAAAAUGUUGGAGAUUGAUCCCCAAAAAGUGAAUAUCAAUGGAGGAGCUGUUUCUCUGGGACAUCCAAUUGGGAUGUCUGGAGCCAGGAUUGUUGGUCAUUUGACUCAUGCCUUGAAGCAAGGAGAAUACGGUCUUGCCAGUAUUUGCAAUGGAGGAGGAGGUGCUUCUGCCAUGCUAAUUCAGAAGCUGUAGACAACCUCUGCUAUUUAAGGAGACAACCCUAUGUGACCAGAAGGCCUGCUGUAAUCAGUGUGACUACUGUGGGUCAGCUUAUAUUCAGAUAAGCUGUUUCAUUUUUUAUUAUUUUCUAUGUUAACUUUUAAAAAUCAAAAUGAUGAAAUCCCAAAACAUUUUGAAAUUAAAAAUAAAUUUCUUCUGCUUUUUUCU